RNAcentral lists this ribosomal RNA (253 nucleotides) under uncultured bacterium. RNAcentral describes it as "partial 16S ribosomal RNA". It matches the Rfam family "Bacterial small subunit ribosomal RNA", at positions 524 to 776 of the family's 1533-position model. The record is from RNAcentral.
UACGUAGGGGGCAAGCGUUGUCCGGAUUUAUUGGGCGUAAAGAGCGUGUAGGCGGCCAGGUAGGUCUGCUGUGAAAACUCGAGGCUCAACCUCGAGACGUCGGCGGAAACCAUCUGGCUAGAGUCCGGAAGAGGAGAGUGGAAUUCCUGGUGUAGCGGUGAAAUGCGUAGAGAUCGGAAAGAACACCAACGGCGAAAGCACUCUGCUGGGCCGACACUGACACUGAGAGACGAAAGCUAGGGGAGCGAAUGGG